RNAcentral lists this long non-coding RNA (1946 nucleotides) under Malus domestica (apple). RNAcentral describes it as "long non-coding RNA (MDOM_LNC019383)". The record is from RNAcentral. Lineage: Eukaryota; Viridiplantae; Streptophyta; Magnoliopsida; Rosales; Rosaceae.
AUUCUCCCAAUCACAUAUUCCUUGGACUUAUCGUUUAAGCGUAUAACAUUUAUAUGAGACGGCUUAAACAAUAAUCUUUGCCCUUGAUAUUAAACUAGAUUAGUUUAACAUGUGAAAUGUCCGUAAAGUAUCAUCAUAUGAUUGGUUUUAGGGCACAUUUCCAAUAGAUAGAGCUAAUGAACGAGAGAUAGAACUCAAAGAAUGGGUUCUUUGAGAAACAAGAUAGUGAUCAACAAAUAUAACAACCUAGUUCCUACACCACAAGCUCCAAGGUAGUUGAGAAGGAUUUAUAAACCGACUCAGUUGAAUGGUUUGAACUUUAUGACUAUGUCAUAGAGUUGCACCUCUUAAUUCGAAAGAAAUAAGAAUGAAAAAUCCUUAUGACUACAUUGAGUGUAUAUACGAUAUAUACUCAAGGAAAUGGUAAAGUACCAUUUGACUCGAAAUAAUGAAACCUUUAUAGCUAAUUAGUAGCUUAAGGUCACUACAAUCAAAGAGAUUGGUUGACUUUGAAGAAACCAUCUUUGACGUAGUCUUGGUUUCAAUUAAUUCGAAGAUUGCUAGCUACAACUAAAUGGUGAUUCAAUGUUUGGACAUUAUAUGGGUUUCCGAAACCAUCAUGUAAGUUGUAGAGAUCCAACCAUCAUGGAUCUUAGCAAGCUAGUGGGAGCUAUAAACGUCUUAUGAUAAAAAGAUCAAAUCGUUUGAUUUCUCAUAAAGAUGUAAAUGAAUCUUUUGUUUACUAGGUUUACAAAAGAUUAGUGGGAGUUAAUAAUGUUCCUAAAUUUGAAUAUAUAUAUAUAUAUACAAAUAUAUGAUAUAUUAAUUUUGGAAAUGAAAAGAAUACUUCUUCGUUAAAGUUAUGACUUUAAAACAUUAUAUGAAGAUAGAAUGUAUAUGGGAGACAUAGUCUAUAUACAUGGGAUAGAAAUCUAUAUUGAUAGAUUUUAGGAUAUAAUUGGAUUAUAUCAAGCCCUAAAUAUAGACAAAAGAUGAUAGGAAGUUUCUCAUAUGAUGAUGAACUUCAAUAAAAAAGGACAACUCUAGUGAGACUAAGAAGUUGCUCUUCUCAAAGAGAACGUACUCUUUGACUCCCAAAGAAAUAAUGCGUAAAUAGAAUCCUUUAUGCAUACGCAGAAAAGUGAUUUAUGUAUUUCAUAGUGUAUGAAAAACAUUGAUAUGAGUUGUACCUAGAACGGUACAAGACGAUAUCAGUGCAAGCCCAGGAUCAGAACCAUGGCAACUGUCAAGUGAGUCUUUAAGUAUUUAAGAAAUACUAAAGGAUAUAUUCCUCAAAGAUCGAGGAAGAAUUAGAGUAACGUAAUGGAAGUGUAAAUGUAUUAGAUUAUGAAUCUAAUCCGUCAUUGGAUGUUUCUUCAUUAUGAAUGAAGAGAUAAACAGAUAUCUCUUUAUUAUGACUAAAGCGAUAUUUGGAUGGAAACAUUAAAGUAAUGACUUUAGUGUGUUCCAUUAUGAAUGCAAAAUAUAUUGCCAUAUAGAAGUUUGCAACAAUGUUGUUUGGAUGGGAAAGUUCAUUUAUGAACUCUCUAUUUGGUUCCAACUAGAAAGUGUCUGACACUAAUGGGGCGAUAGCUCAAGCCAGGGAAUCAAGGUCUCAUCACGAUCCGAACUCAAAUGAGAGACUGAACCACAUGAUUAAGAAUCAUGUAUAAUGGUGACGUCGUUAUUCUCAAGGUUGCUUCUAUGGAUAACAUAUAGAUAUCCAUUGUCUAGGCCUACUACUCAGCCAUUUAUGAAAUGACUACAGAAGAGGUAUCAUCACUGAUGAGCAAGCUGAUUGGCUCUAGUGCAAGUUGGAGAUUGUUGGAAAUGUGCCCUAAAACCAAUCAUAUGAUGAUACUUUACGGACAAUUCACAUGUUAAACUAAUCUAGUUUAAUAUCAAGGGCAAAGAUUAUUGUUUGAGCCGUCUCAUAUAAAUGUUAU